This 460-nucleotide ribosomal RNA is filed under the name uncultured bacterium. Its description in RNAcentral is "partial 16S ribosomal RNA". It matches the Rfam family "Bacterial small subunit ribosomal RNA", at positions 338 to 795 of the family's 1533-position model. The record is from RNAcentral.
CCUACGGGUGGCAGCAGUGAGGAAUAUUGGUCAAUGGACGAGAGUCUGAACCAGCCAAGUAGCGUGAAGGAUGACUGCCCUAUGGGUUGUAAACUUCUUUUAUAAAGGAAUAAAACGAGGCACGUGUGCCUUUUUGCAUGUACUUUAUGAAUAAGGAUCGGCUAACUCCGUGCCAGCAGCCGCGGUAAUACGGAGGAUCCGAGCGUUAUCCGGAUUUAUUGGGUUUAAAGGGAGCGUAGAUGGGUUGUUAAGUCAGUUGUGAAAGGUUGCGGCUCAACCGUAAAAUUGCAAUUGAUACUGGCAGUCUUGAGUACAGUUGAGGGAGGCGGAAUUCGUGGUGUAGCGGUGAAAUGCUUAGAUAUCACGAAGAACCCCGAUUGCGAAGGCAGCUUACUAAACUGUGACUGACAUUGAUGCUCGAAAGUGUGGGUAUCAAACAGGAUUAGAUACCCGAGUAGUC